GACGAACGCUGGCGGCGUGCUUAACACAUGCAAGUCGAACGGAAAGGCCCAGCUUGCUGGGUACUCGAGUGGCGAACUGGUGAGUAACACGUGGGUGAUCUGCCCUGCACUCUGGGAUAAGCCUGGGAAACUGGGUCUAAUACCGGAUAUGACCAACUGUCGCAUGGUGGUUGGUGGAAAGCUUUUGCGGUGUGGGAUGGGCCCGCGGCCUAUCAGCUUGUUGGUGGGGUAAUGGCCUACCAAGGCGACGACGGGUAGCCGACCUGAGAGGGUGAUCGGCCACACUGGGACUGAGAAACGGCCCAGACUCCUACGGGAGGCAGCAGUGGGGAAUAUUGCACAAUGGGCGCAAGCCUGAUGCAGCGACGCCGCGUGAGGGAUGACGGCCUUCGGGUUGUAAACCUCUUUCACCAGGGACGAAGCGUGAGUGACGGUACCUGGAGAAGAAGCACCGGCCAACUACGUG
RNAcentral lists this ribosomal RNA (466 nucleotides) under uncultured bacterium. Its description in RNAcentral is "partial 16S ribosomal RNA". It matches the Rfam family "Bacterial small subunit ribosomal RNA", at positions 28 to 507 of the family's 1533-position model. The record is from RNAcentral.